This 67-nucleotide transfer RNA is filed under the name Neodiprion lecontei (redheaded pine sawfly). RNAcentral's name for it is "tRNA-Pro". Lineage: Eukaryota; Metazoa; Arthropoda; Insecta; Hymenoptera; Diprionidae. The record is from RNAcentral.
CAAAAAAUAGUUUAUUAAAAUAUUAAUUUUGGAGAUUAAUGAUAAGAAAUUUUUUUCUUUUUUUUGA